Molecule: ribosomal RNA, 427 nt
Filed under: Algansea tincella (spottail chub)
Lineage: Eukaryota; Metazoa; Chordata; Actinopteri; Cypriniformes; Leuciscidae
Description: partial 16S ribosomal RNA
Rfam family: Bacterial large subunit ribosomal RNA
Source: RNAcentral
AUGGCUAGACGAGGGCUUAACUGUCUCCCCCCUCCAGUCAGUGAAAUUGAUCUAUCCGUGCAGAAGCGGGUAUAAUUAUACAAGACGAGAAGACCCUUUGGAGCUUAAGGUACAAAAUUCAGCCAUGUUAAACAACUCCGUAGAAAGCAAGAACUUAAUGGCCAUGAAAUUUUACCUUCGGUUGGGGCGACCGCGGAGGAAAAGCAAGCCUCCGAGUGGACUGGGCCAAGACCCCUAAAGCCAAAAGAAACAUCUUUAAGCCGCAGAACAUCUGACCAACAAUGAUCCGACUAAAAAGCCGAUCAACGGACCAAGUUACCCUAGGGAUAACAGCGCAAUCCUCUCCCAGAGCCCAUAUCGACGAGGGGGUUUACGACCUCGAUGUUGGAUCAGGACAUCCUGAUGGUGCAGCCGCUAUCAAGGGUUC